RNAcentral lists this ribosomal RNA (433 nucleotides) under uncultured bacterium. RNAcentral's name for it is "partial 16S ribosomal RNA". It matches the Rfam family "Bacterial small subunit ribosomal RNA", at positions 29 to 507 of the family's 1533-position model. The record is from RNAcentral.
AACGAACGCUGGCGGCAUGCCUAACACAUGCAAGUCGAACGAGACCUUCGGGUCUUGUGGCGCACGGCUGCGGAACGCGUGGGAAUCUACCCUCAGGUUCGGAAUCACUCAGAGAAAUUUGAGUUAAUACCGGAUGAUGUCGUACGUCCAAAGAUUUAUCGCCUGAGGAUGAGCCCUGUUAGGAUUAGGUAGUUGGUGAGGUAAUGGCUGACCAAGGCGACGAUCCUUAGCUGGUCGGAGAGGAUGAUCAGCCACACUGGGACUGAGACACGGCCCAGACUCCUACGGAACGCAGCAGUAGAGAAUAUUAGACGAUGGGCGAAAAUGUGAUCCAGCAAUGCCGCGUAAGUGAUGAAGGCCUUAGGAUUGUAAAGCUGUUUUACACGAGGUGAUAAUGACAGUACCGGGAGAAUAAGCACCGGCUAACUCCGUG